CGAGAUCCCGCGGUCCGAGCUGCCCGUGCUCCCGCGCCGCUUACCUGCCUGCGAGUUGCCCACCUCGGAGCCCCGGGCCAGGCUGAGAAGCAAGCCCAGCACCUGCAGAGCCCGGUUCGCCCUCAUGACGCCAGCGGAGGGAGCUGGACUAGGGGGAGGUCAGGAUUCCAAACGCCCCAAAUGCCUCCAAAGGAGUAAGCCCGGGAGGGGCUCCCGCACCUGUCGCCGUCCCCUCUGCUGCCCCCCACGGCCGCCUGGGAGAACAGCUGCCUCCCCUUCCACGCUGGAGCCUGACCGCGCCGUCGGGGCGGCUGGAGUUCCCGCCGCUCUUCUGCGGACCCGGAUGGGCACACCAUCCCCACCGCAGGGGCUGACACCUUCCCAGGCGCCUUCCGAGCGCCGACUCGCGCUGGAAAGGAGGAGGAGGGGGCACUAGAGAUUGUGUCCACGAAUGACAUCGACCCCUGGCACCUCAGCACCAGCUCCUGGAUGCUGGCGGGAGGCGGUCGGCGCACCGCGAGCUGCUGCCCUAAACCCUGCGGGCCUCCGAACGGGUCCGACGGGCGCCCCCUGGUGCCCAGCGGGCAGCAGUGAGGCCCCCCGCGGCGUUGCAUUUCUAAUCUCUUAAAUUGGCAUUCUGGAUCUCGCCCAGAGAGCGUAAUUAUUUUCCCCAAGAGUGUAAAGCCUGAAAACUUCAAUAACAACUAGUUACGCCUGGACGAAGAAAAAUGUCGCCUCUCACUCUGAACCAAGACUACGGGCUAAAAUCCUUGAAACUUGCUCCGCAUUGAUAUGCACCCUAGGGGGCCCGUUCUCUGCUGGAGGCUACCUUCGCCCUUGGGGCGUUGGCCUUGCCUUGACGACUUGCAUAAUAGUUAUAAUAGUAAUAGCAACCGGGAAACAUUAGCAUAUACGUACAUAAACCACUUUAUUUGCAAACGUUUCCUCAAACUUAGAGAAUGUUUCCUUUACAAAACCUAUGUGAGCUAGGCGACAUCGCUCUUCAUUUUACAGAACUGGAAGUGGGUAGCUUCUCCAAGGUCAUCCUCUUGAUGACGGUGGAUGAGGUGAUCAGGUGAUCUACGGAAGGGGCGCAGGGUUUGUUGGUUUUUUUUUUUUUUUUUUUGAGGAAGAUUAGCCCUGAGCUAACUGCCGCCAAUCCUCCUGUUUUUGCUGAGGAAGGCUGG
Long non-coding RNA from Equus quagga, 1187 nucleotides. RefSeq lists it as uncharacterized. NCBI's taxonomy places the organism in Eukaryota, Metazoa, Chordata, Mammalia, Perissodactyla, Equidae. The transcript is spliced from 3 exons. The record is from RefSeq and is a predicted model, not a curated record.